Molecule: ribosomal RNA, 429 nt
Filed under: Acidobacteriota bacterium
Lineage: Bacteria; Pseudomonadati; Acidobacteriota
Description: Acidobacteria bacterium partial 16S ribosomal RNA
Rfam family: Bacterial small subunit ribosomal RNA
Source: RNAcentral
UGGGGAAUUUUGGACAAUGGGGGAAACCCUGAUCCAGCCAUCCCGCGUGUGCGAUGAAGGCCUUCGGGUUGUAAAGCACUUUUGGCAGGAAAGAAACGUCAUGGGUUAAUACCCCGUGAAACUGACGGUACCUGCAGAAUAAGCACCGGCUAACUACGUGCCAGCAGCCGCGGUAAUACGUAGGGUGCAAGCGUUAAUCGGAAUUACUGGGCGUAAAGCGUGCGCAGGCGGUUCGGAGAGAAAGAUGUGAAAUCCCAGAGCUCAACUUUGGAACUGCAUUUAUAACUACCGGGCUAGAGUGUGUCAGAGGGAGGUGGAAUUCCGCGUGUAGCAGUGAAAUGCGUAGAUAUGCGGAGGAACACCGAGGGCGAAGGCAGCCUCCUGGGAUAACACUGACGCUCAUGCACGAAAGCGUGGGGAGCAAACAGG